This 921-nucleotide ribosomal RNA is filed under the name uncultured bacterium. RNAcentral's name for it is "bacterial SSU rRNA". It matches the Rfam family "Bacterial small subunit ribosomal RNA", at positions 338 to 1249 of the family's 1533-position model. The record is from RNAcentral.
CCUACGGGAGGCAGCAGUGGGGAAUAUUGGACAAUGGGCGCAAGCCUGAUCCAGCAAUGCCGCGUGGGUGAAGAAGGCCUUCGGGUUGUAAAGCCCUUUUGUACGGGAAGAAAUCCUGUCGGUUAAUACCCGGCGGGGAUGACGGUACCGUAAGAAUAAGCACCGGCUAACUUCGUGCCAGCAGCCGCGGUAAUACGAAGGGUGCAAGCGUUAAUCGGAAUUACUGGGCGUAAAGCGUGCGUAGGCGGUUGGCUAAGUCAGAUGUGAAAGCCCUGGGCUCAACCUGGGAAUGGCAUUUGAAACUGGUCGGCUAGAGUGCGGUAGAGGAUGGCGGAAUUCCCGGUGUAGCGGUGAAAUGCGUAGAGAUCGGGAGGAACAUCCGUGGCGAAGGCGGCCAUCUGGACCAGCACUGACGCUGAGGCACGAAAGCGUGGGGAGCAAACAGGAUUAGAUACCCUGGUAGUCCACGCCCUAAACGAUGCGAACUGGAUGUUGGGCUCAACUCGGAGCUCAGUGUCGAAGCUAACGCGUUAAGUUCGCCGCCUGGGGAGUACGGUCGCAAGACUGAAACUCAAAGGAAUUGAUGGGGGCCCGCACAAGCGGUGGAGUAUGUGGUUUAAUUCGAUGCAACGCGAAGAACCUUACCUGGUCUUGACAUGUCUGGAACCCCUGCAGAGAUGCGGGGGUGCCUUCGGGAACCAGAACACAGGUGCUGCAUGGCUGUCGUCAGCUCGUGUCGUGAGAUGUUGGGGUUAAGUCCCGCAACGAGCGCAACCCUUGUCCCUAUUUGCCAGCACGUAAUGGUGGGACUCUAAAGAGACUGCCGGUGACAAACCGGAGGAAGGUGGGGAUGACCGCCAGUCAUCAUGGCCCUUUACGAACAGGGGCUACAUCGUACUACAUGGGUCGAUCAGAAGGUUG